UGCAAGCGUUAAUCGGAUUUACUGGGCGUAAAGCGCGCGUAGGUGGCCAAUUAAGUCAAAUGUGAAAUCCCCGAGCUUAACUUGGGAAUUGCAUUCGAUACUGGUUGGCUAGAGUAUGGGAGAGGAUGGUAGAAUUCCAGGUGUAGCGGUGAAAUGCGUAGAGAUCUGGAGGAAUACCGAUGGCGAAGGCAGCCAUCUGGCCUAAUACUGACACUGAGGUGCGAAAGCAUGGGGAGCAAACAGGAUUAGAUACCCUGGUAGUCCAUGCCGUAAACGAUGUCUACUAGCCGUUGGGGCCUUUGAGGCUUUAGUGGCGCAGCUAACGCGAUAAGUAGACCGCCUGGGGAGUACGGUCGCAAGACUAAAACUCAAAUGAAUUGACGGGGGCCCGCACAAGCGGUGGAGCAUGUGGUUUAAUUCGAUG
RNAcentral lists this ribosomal RNA (424 nucleotides) under Escherichia coli. Its description in RNAcentral is "bacterial SSU rRNA". It matches the Rfam family "Bacterial small subunit ribosomal RNA", at positions 533 to 956 of the family's 1533-position model. The record is from RNAcentral. Lineage: Bacteria; Pseudomonadati; Pseudomonadota; Gammaproteobacteria; Enterobacterales; Enterobacteriaceae.